This 277-nucleotide unclassified non-coding RNA is filed under the name Hevea brasiliensis (rubber tree). The record is from RNAcentral. Lineage: Eukaryota; Viridiplantae; Streptophyta; Magnoliopsida; Malpighiales; Euphorbiaceae.
AAAAGAGAGAUUGAUUUAAUUUCUACCCAAAUAAAGAAAUUUCAAAUGUAGAUUUGCAAAUUUUCAAACUGCUAACACUGUUCGAGCAUUCUUAGCAGUUCCCUUUACAAGGAAAAAGAAAAAUUCUAAGCCAAUUGCCAAGUACCUAAAUCAUGGGUGAUCCUUUCCCAAAGAUUGUGGCAAAAUACCAAAGAAUAUUAAGCAUAAAAUACAAAAGAAAACUCUGAAAGACUAUAGCACUUGAAUAAAGAACAGUUGCAUAAAAAAGAGAUCAUUU